RNAcentral lists this long non-coding RNA (994 nucleotides) under Oncorhynchus mykiss (rainbow trout). RNAcentral describes it as "lncRNA (ENSOMYG00000062000.1)". The record is from RNAcentral. Lineage: Eukaryota; Metazoa; Chordata; Actinopteri; Salmoniformes; Salmonidae.
GUACCCCCUCUUCCAGCAGAGUCAGCUAUCCCCACUGUACCCCCUCUUCCAGCAGAGUCAGCUAUCCCCACUGUACCCCCUCUUCCAGCAGUCAGCUAUCCCCACUGUACCCCCUCUUCCAGCAGUCAGCUAUCCCCACUGUACCCCCUCUUCCAGCAUGGUCAGCUAUUCCCACUGUACCCCCUCUUCCAGCAGAGUCAGCUAUCCCCACUGUACCCCCUCUUCCAGCAUGGUCAGCUAUCCCCACUGUACCCCCUCUUCCAGCAGAGUCAGCUAUCCCCACUGUACCCCCUCUUCCAGCAGAGUCAGCUAUCCCACACUGUACCCCCUCUUCCAGCAGAAUCAGCUAUCCACACUGUACCCCCUCUUCCAGCAGAGUCAGCUAUCCCCACUGUACCCCCUCUUCCAGCAGAGUCAGCUAUCCCCACUGUACCCCCUCUUCCAGCAGAGUCAGCUAUCCCCACUGUACCCCCUCUUCCAGCAGAGUCAGCUAUUCCCACUGUACCCCCUCUUCCAGCAGAGUCAGCUAUCCCCACUGUACCCCCUCUUCCAGCAGAGUCAGCUAUCCCCACUGUACCCCCUCUUCCAGCAGAGUCAGCUAUCCCCACUGUACCCCCUCUUCCAGCAGAGUCAGCUAUCCCCACUGUACCCCCUCUUCCAGCAGAGUCAGCUAUCCCCACUGUACCCCCUCUUCCAGCAUGGUCAGCUAUCCCCACUGUACCCCCUCUUCCAGCAGAGUCAGCUAUCCCCACUGUACCCCCUCUUCCAGCAUGGUCAGCUGACUGCAAUGUCUGUGUGUUUCUGCAAAGUGUGUUCUGUGUGUGUGUGUGUGUGUGUGUGUACACACUGUAACAGAGUUAGGGACAGAGAUCAAAGAAGACGACAGACAUGUCAGAAGCUGUGCUGUUGGAGAGAAGGACUAGGACCAUGUGGAGGAAGGGGCAGAGGUAUGAGAGAGCAAAGUAGAGCGAGAUGGAGCAUAGAGAUGAUGUGA